Molecule: ribosomal RNA, 406 nt
Filed under: uncultured bacterium
Lineage: Bacteria
Description: partial 16S ribosomal RNA
Rfam family: Bacterial small subunit ribosomal RNA
Source: RNAcentral
AUUGAACGCUGGCGGCAGGCCUAACACAUGCAAGUCGAACGAGUGGCGGACGGGUGAGUAAUGUCUGGGAAACUGCCUGAUGGAGGGGGAUAACUACUGGACACGGUAGCUAAUACCGCAUACCCUCAGAUGUGCCCCGAUGGGAUUGGCUAGUAGGUGGGGUAACGGCUCACCUAGGCGACGCUCCCUAGCUGGUCUGCGAGGAUGACCAGCCACACUGGAACUGAGACACGGUCCAGACGCCUACGGGAGGGAGCAGUGGGGAAUAUUGCACAAUGGGCGCAAGCCGGAUGCAGCCAUGCCGCGUGUAUGAAGAAGGCCUUCGGGUUGUAAAGUACUUUCAGCGGGGGGGCGUUACCCGCAGAAGAAGCACCGGCUAACUCCGUGCCAGCAGCCGCGGUAAUAC